UACAUGUGGGGCAAGCGUUGUUCGGAAUUACUGGGCAUAAAGGGUGCGUAGGCGGUUUGUUAAGUCAGGGGUGAAAGUUUUCGGCCCAACCGGAAAAUUGCCUUUGAUACUGGCGAACUUGAGUGCGUGAGGGGUAACCGGAACGAGUGGUGUAGCGGUGAAAUGCGUAGAUAUCACUCGGAAGGCCAACGGCGAAGGCAGGUUACUGGUACGCAACUGACGCUGAGGCACGAAAGCGUGGGGAGCAAACAGG
Molecule: ribosomal RNA, 253 nt
Filed under: uncultured bacterium
Lineage: Bacteria
Description: partial 16S ribosomal RNA
Rfam family: Bacterial small subunit ribosomal RNA
Source: RNAcentral